CGCAAUUAAAAGAAAAGGUAUGGCGGAAUCUGAGAACAAGUUCGAGUUUGAUGCUGACUAGGCUAGCAACCCAGUGUCUCGUAUCAUGAAAUGUUUUUCCCGUUCCUGUCACAUACGCAAACCACGUUUUCUUUUGUUUGCUUUCGUCCAUCGCUGCCGAGAACGGCCGGCACGACAUGGACCCGGUCGUGUCGUGCACUCAUCUGCUGGCCGAGGACGAUGCCGGAUUUUCUGGCUUCGUCACCAGGUGAAGCGUGGGAGGCAGCACCGGAGGCAGCUGUACGAGUCAGAGCAACAAGGUGAGCUCAUCGAGCAGUUUUCUUGCGUCGUAAUUUUUCCAAUACCUCUCGCUCUGCACGGUGAAUUGCCUGUAAAAUUAUUUCGGUAGCUCUAUACUCGAGCAGCCCAGCGUCACAAGGUCGACUGCGGUGUGCAAGGUCGACCUGACUUCUUUGGCAGCGAGGUGAACAUCUCCUGCAGCAUGCUCAUGUCAAGCCACAUGUAGCAGCUGCGAGCAACGUACGUGACACAGUGUUCAUGCCACUGGCAAGGCUGCAGCACACUCUGUUGUCCUCGCGCAGCCGGAUGCUCCAUUUUGGAUGUCGGUUGGCCAGGAUGUCCAGCAAGUUCCAGAGCAGCGUGCUCACCGGAAGUU
RNAcentral lists this long non-coding RNA (655 nucleotides) under Dermacentor andersoni. RNAcentral's name for it is "uncharacterized LOC126517441". Lineage: Eukaryota; Metazoa; Arthropoda; Arachnida; Ixodida; Ixodidae. The record is from RNAcentral.